Molecule: non-coding RNA, 850 nt
Organism: Phalacrocorax carbo (great cormorant)
Lineage: Eukaryota; Metazoa; Chordata; Aves; Suliformes; Phalacrocoracidae
Source: RefSeq, a predicted model, not a curated record
GGCAGCUGCAGGGGAGCGGCAGCAAAGCCGCCGGGCCGGCGCACCGGCUAAUGAGCGAGGCAGGAGCCAAGCUAAAGUCUUAGCCCCCCUGCAAAGGGAGGGCAUCUGCCGGCUCGCUGAGCAGGGCCCACAGGGGCGGUAGCAGCCGCGGCGGCCAGCGCGAGGUUUUUGGGUGGAUAGUUUGUUUUUACAUGUAAGAAGCAAAUUAGGAGCUCUGGGUGUAACUUAAAUAUGAUCCGUCCCUAAGGCGAUUGAGAGUGCAACACCUAUUGCAAUUUUAAUUUUCAAGUGUUCUGAAAGGUUGAAGUGCAGCCUUGCCUAUGGGGAGGAGAAUGCCGGGGAAAGAGGUGUGCUCGUGUCACGCAGCAUUUAGCCUAACGAUACAGGUUGUGUUAUUCCUCAGCUGCUCAGGAGCUGCAUUCAUACUGAACAAUCAACAAACCCUAAUUGAAAUAAAGCUGCAAAGUGCAGUGAGUGGAAGGAGUGGCAAGAGGUUUUUAAGUCUUGCUUUUCUUCUGAAUUUUGCUGCUGAGGGCAAACAUCUUUUCCUGCUAGCAUCAGAAAUAAAAACAAGUUCCCUUUGCUGUGAGAAAGAAAGCAAUCCAGCUGACCUCACAAAUCCUUCUUGUCCUGCACUGAGAUUAAAAAAAAUAAUCUCCAUGCUAGAGAAAAGAUUCCAGAUGACAUUACAGAAGUCUGAGUGUCCAAGCCAUCUUGCUUACUCUGAAUUUCACAUAAUAACUUUGAGACUGUGUUAGAGGUCAGUUCACAGUGCACCCAAAGUUUCAUUAUGGUUUGUACUGCUGGAGAAAUAAUAGAAAUCAAGGAUCUAGAAUUCUGUGAAGAGAGC